UGAUCAUUAUUUUUAUUUAAAGACAGGAUUGAAAAUGGUUAUAAGUGUCCAACAAUAAAUCUCAAAGUUACGCAUCUCAUCCAUCUUGUCUACACAAUUUCAUCUUAUUUACCUCAUCAUUGAAGGGCGAGUUAUCCCAAAAUUGGCAACCUCUCAAGCAACUCUAUCUUCCUCUCUGGUCAUCAUCACCAUCAUCAUCUCUAUUUUUUGUGCAUUAUACAUUAUGAAUCAGUUUACUUUCACCCAAUACACAUUGGAUGUACAUUUUACCGCCCAAUCUUUAUACUCCAGCAAGCCAUCAAGAAGAAGCUGUUGCUUGAAAAACCAUCAUCUUUCCUAACAAAGGACAGUCAACCAACGCGAUAGAAGGAAACUUUAAAGCUAAUUAAUGUUACCAAAGAUUCACUCUUCUGUCCUGAUGAUAUGAACAGAUUAAUUUUCAAGUAUCAUUUUCACCCUGCUACAUAAAGGCCAAGGCUUAUUUUAUUUAAUAAAAUGUAAACAUUGGCCCGGACAAGAGACUGGAUACAUUAAAAGGGAUUGAUGAUUGGAUAAAGUAACCUUUUACAUGAAAAGCUAUUUAUUUACUAAUGAUGAUACUAUGGUCCAGUCUUAUGAUUAAAUUGAUGCCUCCAAAGAUGUAGCUAUAAUUGUUUGAUACGUCGGCGUUUAGUUGGUUUCCUCGAUAAACAAAUGGACCAAUUUGUAAACAUUAAUACGUUUUAAAUCAACAAGAAAACAAACUCUGGUUUAAUAUUUAUAAUCUUGUCGGAUUUUCGAGGUUCUCCUUCACCAAUCAAAUUGUAGUCCUUUCAUCUUAUCAUGUUAACUUCUCUAAACAUCACUCUAUUUUAAUGGUCAACUCCUGUGGUUGAGCCUCCACAACCUUUUCCCUGUGCUGGAUGAGGAAAAUUAUUGAAUCAAUGGGCAAACUUGAUUAUUUUAUUGGUCAAUAUUAACCAGUUCAAAUUGGCUUUGUCAAUGGUAAGUCAAUUGAGAUACACAUUUGAAAAGCCAAUUUUCACUUAAUCAAUUUUUCUCGGCUCAAAAAAAGUGUGAUCAAGUUAAUUCAAGUAUCAGUUACUCUCUACAAUUACAUUUAUUACCAUAUUGAUCCUUGAAAGUUGCUGCUCAUUUCAACCAUUGUUAUUGUAAUUAUAAACUUGUGUUCAUUAUGAUUAUGAUAAUAAGUGUAUCUGUCUAUUGUUAUUCUGUGCUCAUAUGGAUUACAUCUUGAGACGGAAAUAUUGUUUUUUUUUCUUUCUUUCUUCAAGAAAAUUCAUUUUCAUCUGAUGACUGAGAAUCACUUGUUAUUAUUGCAAGAGCAAAACAAAACUAAAAAGUGAAAUUGUUAAGAAAAUAAUGUUUUUUGAUGCUCACUAAGUUAGCAGAAAUAAAAAAAUGUUGACUCAGGCAGUCUUUGAAGCAUAAAAAUUCGUUGAAAAAAAAUCAUGAUAUAAACUCCUAGCCAUAGGAACCCAAAAAUGUUGAUAAUGAGAUGAACAAGGAGAAAGAACAUAAAUAGACAGGGAAAAAGGAAGGAAAAUAAAGGACAAAAAUAGAAAGAUAAGAGAUAAAGCUUUCCAUCUUUACUCCCAUCCUAAUCUUCAUCUUGAACUGUAAAUUUUAAUGGAAACCAAUGUUAAACCCAAAAUCAAAAGCCAACCAUUGUUAAUGGUUUUCAACUGUUCAUCUCAAACUUUCACCACAAACGACCAUUUUUCAAUUUUACCGUUUUCAGUUUUUUUGGUACAAAUUAAAAUCAAUGGACAUUGAAUGUU
Long non-coding RNA from Tetranychus urticae (two-spotted spider mite), 1781 nucleotides. RefSeq lists it as uncharacterized. The record is from RefSeq and is a predicted model, not a curated record. NCBI's taxonomy places the organism in Eukaryota, Metazoa, Arthropoda, Arachnida, Trombidiformes, Tetranychidae.